GGUUUGUUCUGCCGGUGGCGGGUUGGCCUGUGUUCCUACGCGGGUGCGGGGAGGCGGGAUCGCGGGGACGAGGCGCAGAGCGCUGCAGCCCUGCCGGCGCUGAGGCGGCUCUCGGUUCGCCCAGCGCUCCGCCGUGCUGACGGCGUGUCUGUGGCCGAGGCUUUGUGCUCUCGGUCUGUGCGGAAUUCGUGAGAAAGCUGGCUUUGCGCUGUUGCUGAUGGUAGGAAAGAGGCUCGAUUAAUUGGGCUGUCUGAUGUGGGAUUUGUUUCCCGUAUAACAGCGAUUCAGAACUGAAGGUGGCACUGGUUGUGGUGUUCUUCUUUCGUUGUCUCGGAAGUACAGUAGGAUUUGUUUAUUAUCCGUGCUGUUUAGCUGCAUGAAAAUGGAGGACUACGAAACGUUCUGUAAGAAGCAUCUGUCCAGAAUCCAAGAGGCAACAAAAGGAGAAAACUCACCCACUGUGUUGCACAGAAAUGUCUCCCUCAUUCAAUUCCAUGGAGUUCCUGUGCUCUCCCCUCUGCUGAGCUUUGAAAAGAGAAAGGAAAUACAGCAGUAUCGACAGAAAGCGCUGGAUCUGCAGACUUGGAGACAGAACUCCCACAAAAGAGCCUUACUGAAUCGUGUGCAGGAGAUUCUAGAAAACAUUCAGAACAGGAAAGUAUCUGGUAUGAGUGAUGUGAACACGUGGGAUGCUGAGAAUACCUGCCCCAGUUCAGACUCCAAAGUUUUAACUGAUCUCGCACCUCUGUCAGAUGCCAACUUGCCAUGUUCUCCUGAAAGGCAUCGUCCUGUGCAGCUCGAAAAAAGCCAAGAGCUUUUGCCAUCAGACUCUAUGCAGCAAGUGACGUCAAAUGCAACAGAAGUAGGUAAACCAGCAGAAGAAAAUGUUCCUUCAAAGGGAAGUGAGAAUCACUUCUCAAGAGAUGUACCCUGUCCAAGGGCUGCGUCUCCUGACAGUGUGCAGAGUAAACUUGUGUCCCCUGCUUUACAAAAGCAAGAGGGACAAGGAGUGCCAUCGUCUGACAAGGAGGUCCAAGAUCCAUAUGCAGUGAGUCUUCAGAACCUGAUGAAAAAGUCUAGGGAGUACAUAGAGAAAGAGCAAAGCAGGCGUAGCUCAAAAAGCAGUUCAAAGAAGAGUAUGAACGAAAGCCAUUCAGAUAAAGAAAAUGAUGCAGUUAAAACAUCGGAUUCUGUGAAAGAGAGAGCAAAGCCUACAGGCAGAAGUUCCACUGCUCUGCCACUUGAUAAACCCUGUCUUAAUAAAUCAAAUACUCACAUUCAAGGUGCCUCUACUCAUACAAGUACAUCAACUUUAUCCAGUUUUUCUAAAGUGGAUAUACCUAUGAGAGUUGGAACACCCCCAUUGGUGGAUUCAGAUUCAGAUGAAGAAUUUAAGAAUACUUCAGCCAUUGACCGUGACAGUAGCAUUGUCAGGAGCCUCACAGGGUCGUAUAGCAAACUGCCGAGCCCAGAGCCAAGCAUGAGUCCAAAAAUGCACCGAAGGCGCCCAAGGCCUCUGUCAAUGGGACACAUAGUUAUAAACAACCCCGUGAAUGCUUACGAAUUAAGUCCCAAAGGCAAGGGUAGAGCAAUGGAUUUAAUUAUGCAAGAUAUUGCUGAUAAAAAUAAUGUGUCUGAGUCAGUGCCAAAGUUCAUGAUGGACUUUAGUAUGCUUUGCCCUAGCAGAGUUCCUGGUGUCAUCAGGAGUUCUUCAGGUCCUUCUGAUGGGUUGCUGGUUGGCAAACCAAACAGACAUUCCUUUGGGCACUCAGAAGGCAAAGGGACGUUGUCUGCUGCAGGGGAGGGACAGGUAGUGAUGGACAACAGAGGACUAUAUAAAGUAGAGACUGGUACUGUAGGUCCAAAGCUGAAUGAGCCGUUUUCCAUCAAUCAGUCCACAGUAACACAGAAACUCCUAGCUGUGAAAGAAACCAAAGCGUCCAGUUUGCAAGAAAAUACCAAAUCUCCAGUAGAACUCAAUAAAUCUUACGAUGUAGAAAGCCCAUCCCCGCUACUAAUGCAGAGCAAGAGUGUGCGCCAGCAGAUGGACACUCCAAGUGUUCCCCCAGCAAAUGAACAGUUUCUAGAAAACAGUUAUGAAAAGGUAAAACGUAGACUUGAUUUGGACACUGACAACUGCCAGAAAGAUAACAACCCCUGUGCUGUAACAGUUGGGAUGGAGGAAGAAGAGAAACAAUGGUUGCAAGAGCAGAAAUAUCCUGUGACAUCGGUUUACGUUGCCAAGAAUGCAGCCCCUGAUUCAAGUAUGGCAAAAGAAGAGAUUUUAAAGACUAAAAUGCUGGCCUUUGAAGAAAUGAGGAAGAGACUCGAAGAACAGCAUGCACAACAACUGUCAAUUCUGAUAGCAGAACAAGAGCGAGAGCAGGAGAAAUUGCAGAAGGAACUGGAGGAACAGGAGAGAAAAGGAAAGAAAAUCGCUACAACAGAAAUAGAAAUUUCCAAAGUGAAUAUUAACAGUAGGAUGGAGUUGGAGUGGAGAAAAAGUGAAAGUGGCUUAGUGGAAAGUGUGCAGUCUCAGCUGGAGACGAUCCAUAACGCAAACUCUACAAGCAUUGGUUUUGCUCAUGCUUCAUCACCUAACACCUUUACUUCAACAAGUGAAACUUCGUUCUUUCUCUGGGGACCAUCAGGCAGUGGAGUUAUAAAAACCUCAGUAUCUAGGCCAAGUAACAGGAUCAAAACCAGGUGGGCCCAGAUUUUCACUCCAGAGAUACAAAUGAAGUUUGAUAAGAUAACUGCUGUGGCAAAGGGGUUUCUUACACGUCGGCUCCUACAGACAGAGAAACUGAAACAUCUCAAGCAGACUGUAAAAGAUACUAUGGAGUUCAUAAGAAAUUUUCAAUCUGAAGCCCCAUUAAAAAGAGGAAGUGUUUCAGCACAAGAUGCAUCCCUUCAUGAAAGAGUAAUGGCUCAGCUUCGAGCUGCUCUGUAUGAUAUCCAUGACAUAUUUUUCACAAUGGAGGCAUCAGAAAGAAUGAACAUUCUGCGUCACGAUCGUGAAGUUCGUAAAGAGAAGAUGCUCAGGCAAAUGGAUAAAGUGAAGAGUCCAAGAGAGAGAGCAACACUUUCAACAGCUACGCAGAAAUCUCUGGAUAGGAAAAAGUACAUGAAGGCUUCAGAAAUGGGAAUGCCAAGUAAGAAAAUAGUCAUAAAACAAAGAAGUCCUGAGAGCCGAGUACUUCAACCAAACCAAGGACAGAAUGCCCCGGUUCAUAGAUUACUUUGCAGACAAGGAACCCCUAAGACCUCAAUGAAGGGGGUUGAGCAAAAUAGAAAGAAGGCCUCAGAGAGCAGAGUGUCUAACAAGGCGGUUUCAGGACAAAGCAGCUCUGUCAGUAGCCUGUAAGUCGUGCUAAGCAGGGCAUUUAAAGAUGAUUGAGAUCAGCCUGCUGCUGCCACUGUGCUUCCCCACCUCGUUUGUUUCUGCCCAGUCUGAGAGCAUAUGCAGGAAGAACCCAAAGAAAGAAGCCAAAUGUUGUGACAAUUUAAGACGACAGCACUCACUAGGAUGAACAGGCUGCCCUUUAACGAUGGUAUUCUCAGCACUCAUCCAUGUAUUUCAUCUCUUAAAUGCGUAGUUAUAUUUUGAAAUGAUAAGCCUACUUUGUCUUUUCCAGAUGAUGACAUUUUAAUGCAAUCAUAUUGAAGUAAUAAAGAGCUGUUAAGCUCUAAUCCAGUGUAAAAAUUGCAUGUUAAAAGUUGUGUAUGCAGUAGUGUGCAUAUAUAAGAUUCAUAAUGUUAUUCAAAUAAGACCACAGAGCAUCAUUAAGUUAAUUUGGGACAUCAUAUGCUCUAACUUUGUAUCUUCAACAUGGUUUUUGUAUUAUUUAAGUUGGCAAUUUCUCUGUAUGGUUUUCCACCAUAAGUCAUGCACGUAUAGUUUUAGUUUCUCACCAUUAUACUUAAAGCAGUUACAUAAGAAAAAAAAUCCCUUAAAACUGAACUCUUCAGUCUGAAUUUGUCAGCAGCUGUUCUGAAUGUAUUUGUGUGAAUGCUGUUACAUCACUUCACAUAUUUAUGGCCUAAAUUGGUUGCAAUUGUGCUGAGUUGGACAGACAAGGAUCCAGACAGGUGUACUUCCAUUCUCUAUAGAAACUGCACAUUUAUACACGUGAUAGAUCAAACAACUGUGCUGGAUGUCCUAGGAUUUUUUUUUUCCUUGUUAUCUGUGGAACACUGAAGGAUGAUGCACAUAUUUUGCCUUGAUCAUCAUAGUGAUGGGUGUUAUGCUUCAGCCUGAGCAGAGCAUAAGUCUGGAAGUUUAUUUAUGUCUCUAAGGAUACAACUUUCAGACAGGAUAGGUUGUUAACAUUAGAAGUAAAUAGAGAGAAGCUUGGCUAUUGCAGUCUGUGCAGUACUGUUUUUUUGUUUUCUGUUAGAGUAGUACUAGAAAACUGAUCACCUGAAAGUGAAGUUAUUGUUUUCUUCCCAGUGUCAAUACAGUGCAACACAGUGGGGCCUGUGUAACAUUUUCUCACUGGUAUGAGGGGGAAAAAGUGAUCAAUAACUUAAUUUGCAACCGCUAUAAAAAAAGAACAUUAACAGUAGGAUGAAGAGAAUAUCUUUAGGGACAGUGGUGAAUUAGCUGGCUUGUGGCAGUAGUUGUGACUUGCAUCAGUAAGUCUGUCUUCCACAGCUGGUGACGGUGUUAAAUGCUUCCUAACAGGUGAUACUAAAUUGUGUAGUUAGAAAUCUGAGGCAAAAGGCUGCUGAAAGGCUUUGGAGGUAGAUGCUGCUUAGGCUCUGCUGUGGCUCUAAGGUGCAUUCCCUGCUGGUAUAAAUGCAAAAGCUUACACCAGUAAAAUACCUGCUGCCCUCAUAUCAAUUCAGUGAUUUUUUUAUUUUAAGAAAAAAAUUGCAAUCCAAAAAAUGCCUGAUGUGUUUCCUGCUUAUUCAGCAGUCAUCCAAUGUCUGCUUUGGCUCCCGCUUUCCUGUGUUUGGAUAAUCCCAGGAUGGGAGUGGAAAACAUCUGAGGGAAAAGAAUGGAGUGUGACCUGUGUCAAGGGUGGCACAAAAGCCUGCUGUGGCUGUGUCAGUGCUAAGGGUUGGUGUAUUUUAAGGGUGUUUUAUAUACUGUAUGUAUUAUUAGAGUAGGCAGCGUGUUGAUAUAAAAGUAGUGUUAGUAAAUGUGAGUGCUUACCUCCAGGUUUCACAUCUGAACCUCUUUUACUUCCAGCAUGUUUCUGGUCUGUGUAACAAGGUGUUGUACUGCAAGUUGUUUGUUUGAACUUUCAUGAGGCCUUUCUCUUGACAAGUGCCAGAAUUUGGUUUUGUACUUAGUAUGUUAAUUUAUACAUAUUUAAUUUUAUCUGACUUUAUUUUGUGUGUGGUUGUAAUAUCAUCAUAAAAGCGUAUUUAUUUUUGUACUUUCCGUUUUCACCAGGCUUGCUUUUUACUACAUACUACACAAUAAACUUGCAAUCUUUAAAAAGA
Molecule: RNA transcript, 5454 nt
Organism: Phasianus colchicus (ring-necked pheasant)
Lineage: Eukaryota; Metazoa; Chordata; Aves; Galliformes; Phasianidae
Gene: CCP110
Gene name: centriolar coiled-coil protein 110
Source: RefSeq, a predicted model, not a curated record